Molecule: long non-coding RNA, 237 nt
Organism: Priapulus caudatus
Lineage: Eukaryota; Metazoa; Priapulida; Priapulimorpha; Priapulimorphida; Priapulidae
Exons: 3
Source: RefSeq, a predicted model, not a curated record
ACUGGAGCGACGGUUGAGUCAGCUAUUCCCCAGGUUCAGGUCUCGGCACCAGCAGCAUCCUCGCUGGAGCCGUCAUGGCGGCUCUCUGGCGCGUCUCCGGCAAGGCGCACAACCACGAUUCGCUCAUCCAUGCCGUGCUGCACCUGGAGCAGAUGCUGACGACGGGCGGCGGCUGGCAGGACCAGGUCGGCGGCCUGACCCCCGGGGUCAAGGUCGGACACUCGCCGCCCGGCCUGC